Molecule: ribosomal RNA, 419 nt
Filed under: bacterium
Lineage: Bacteria
Description: partial 16S ribosomal RNA
Rfam family: Bacterial small subunit ribosomal RNA
Source: RNAcentral
UGGGGGAUAUUGCACAAUGGGCGAAAGCCUGAUGCAGCGACGCCGCGUGGGGGAUGAAGGCCUUCGGGUUGUAAACUUCUUUUGCUCUGAACAAGGCGCACCAUGGGGUGUGUUGAGUGUAGGGGUUGAUUAGCGCCGGCUAACUACGUGCCAGCAGCCGCGGUAAUACGUAGGGCGCGAGCGUUGUCCGGAAUUAUUGGGCGUAAAGGGCUUGUAGGUGGCUGGUUGCGUCUGUCGUGAAAGCUCAUGGCUUAACUGUGGGUUUGCGGUGGGUACGGGCUGGCUUGAGUGCAGUAGGGGAGGCUGGAAUUCCUGGUGUAGCGGUGGAAUGCGCAGAUAUCAGGAGGAGUACCGGUGGCGAAGACGGGUCUCUGGGCUGUUACUGACACUGAGGAGCGAAAGCAUGGGGAGCGAACAGG